CGCCUGUUUAUUAAAAACAUAGUUUUUUAAAUUAAUAAAAAAUAAUGUCUGCCCAUUGAAUUUUAAUUAAAAGGCCGCAAUAUACUAAUUGUGCUAAGGUAGCAUAAUCAUUAGAUUUUUAAUUUGAAUCUAGAAUGAAAGAUAAAAUAAAAAAAAAUCUUUAUUAUUUAUAUAAUUUGAAUUUUAUAUUUAAGUUAAAAAGCUUAAAAAAUAAAAUUAGACGAGAAGACCCUAUAGAAUUUUAUUAUAAAAUAAUUAAAUAAAAAUUAUUAAUAUAAUUUAAUUGGGGAGAUUAUAAAAUUUAAUAAACUUUUUAAUAAAUAAAUAUCAAUAAUUUUUGUUUAUUUGAACUUAUUUUAAAAAUAAAAAGAUUAAAUUACCUUAGGGAUAACAGCAUAAUUUUAAAAAAAAGUUCUUAUUUUUUUUAAUGUUUAUGACCUCGAUGUUGGAUUAAAUAAAGUUAAUUUGAAGAUAAAUUAAUAUU
This 484-nucleotide ribosomal RNA is filed under the name Pseudasphondylia rokuharensis. RNAcentral describes it as "partial large subunit ribosomal RNA". The record is from RNAcentral. Lineage: Eukaryota; Metazoa; Arthropoda; Insecta; Diptera; Cecidomyiidae.